CCCUUAGAUGUUCUGGGCCGCACGCGUGCUACACUGAGUGGAUCAGCGGGUCAGGUUGCGCGAAAGCGUUUCCUAAUCUUUAAAUUCGCUCGUGAUGGGGAUUGACGGUUGCAAUUUUCUGUCAUGAACGAGGAAUACCUUGUAAGCGCGGGUCAUCAUCCCGCGCUGAAUACGUCCCUGCCCUUUGUACACACCGCCCGUCGCUCCUACCGAUUGAGUGGUCCGGUGAGGCUUUGGGAUCUGAGCGGAAAGAGCGUUUCGCUGUUUCUGCUCGGAAAACUCAGUCGAACCUUAUCAUUUAGAGGAAGGAGAAGUCGUAACA
Molecule: ribosomal RNA, 322 nt
Filed under: uncultured eukaryote
Lineage: Eukaryota
Description: partial 18S ribosomal RNA
Rfam family: Eukaryotic small subunit ribosomal RNA
Source: RNAcentral